Molecule: long non-coding RNA, 245 nt
Filed under: Mustela putorius furo (domestic ferret)
Lineage: Eukaryota; Metazoa; Chordata; Mammalia; Carnivora; Mustelidae
Description: lncRNA (ENSMPUG00000031466.1)
Source: RNAcentral
CAUGCAGGAAGCAAAUGUUCUCAGGCAGACGCCCGCUGAGGAACCCUCUGAAGGAUGGUUCAGCCCCCCGCACGCAGGAUUAACCAGGAUGGAGCUUCUCAAACCAUGGGAGACAGAACAUAUGCAACAGCCAUCUGAAGACUCUGAGACGUGAACAGUAGCAGGCAGAACUGACCAGAAUUGGAAGUACCACCAAACUGUGAGUUUGCUAUUAUUUUUCCUCUUUAUCCACUAGCUUGGCUUUA